UACGUAGGGACCGAGCGUUGUCCGGAUUCAUUGGGCGUAAAGAGCUCGUAGGCGGCUGCUCAAGUCGAAUGUGAAAACUCGAGGCUCAACCUCGAGCCUGCAUUCGAUACUGGGCGGCUAGAGUCUGGUAGGGGGAUCUGGAAUUCCUGGUGUAGCGGUGGAAUGCGCAGAUAUCAGGAGGAACACCGAUGGCGAAGGCAGGUCACUGGGCCGCAACUGACGCUGAGGAGCGAAAGCAUGGGGAGCGAACAGG
This 253-nucleotide ribosomal RNA is filed under the name uncultured bacterium. Its description in RNAcentral is "partial 16S ribosomal RNA". It matches the Rfam family "Bacterial small subunit ribosomal RNA", at positions 524 to 776 of the family's 1533-position model. The record is from RNAcentral.